UACGAAGGGAGCUAGCGUUGUUCGGAAUAACUGGGCGUAAAGGGUGCGUAGGUGGAUGUGUGCGUUAGAUGUGAAAUCCCCGGGCUUAACCUGGGAACUGCAUUUAAUACGGCACGUCUAGAGUGCGAGAGGGGAAAGCGGAAUGGCGAGUGGAGCAGUGAAAUGCAUUGAGAUUCGCUAGAACACCAGAGGCGAAGGCGGCUUUCUGGCUCGCUACUGACACUAAGGCACGAAAGCGUGGGGAGCAAACAGGAUUAGAUACCCUGGUAGUCCACGCUGUAAACGAUGGAUGCUAGAUGUUGGUCAGAUUGCUGAUCAGUGUCGGCGCUUACGCAAUAAGCAUCCCGCCUGGGGAGUACGAUCGCAAGAUUA
Molecule: ribosomal RNA, 372 nt
Filed under: uncultured prokaryote
Description: bacterial SSU rRNA
Rfam family: Bacterial small subunit ribosomal RNA
Source: RNAcentral